RNAcentral lists this ribosomal RNA (491 nucleotides) under Staphylococcus aureus. RNAcentral describes it as "bacterial SSU rRNA". It matches the Rfam family "Bacterial small subunit ribosomal RNA", at positions 326 to 809 of the family's 1533-position model. The record is from RNAcentral. Lineage: Bacteria; Bacillati; Bacillota; Bacilli; Caryophanales; Staphylococcaceae.
ACGGUCCAGACUCCUACGGGAGGCAGCAGUAGGGAAUCUUCCGCAAUGGGCGAAAGCCUGACGGAGCAACGCCGCGUGAGUGAUGAAGGUCUUCGGAUCGUAAAACUCUGUUAUUAGGGAAGAACAUAUGUGUAAGUAACUGUGCACAUCUUGACGGUACCUAAUCAGAAAGCCACGGCUAACUACGUGCCAGCAGCCGCGGUAAUACGUAGGUGGCAAGCGUUAUCCGGAAUUAUUGGGCGUAAAGCGCGCGUAGGCGGUUUUUUAAGUCUGAUGUGAAAGCCCACGGCUCAACCGUGGAGGGUCAUUGGAAACUGGAAAACUUGAGUGCAGAAGAGGAAAGUGGAAUUCCAUGUGUAGCGGUGAAAUGCGCAGAGAUAUGGAGGAACACCAGUGGCGAAGGCGACUUUCUGGUCUGUAACUGACGCUGAUGUGCGAAAGCGUGGGGAUCAAACAGGAUUAGAUACCCUGGUAGUCCACGCCGUAAACGA